GAGAUUUUCUUCCCAAUCUUAACUUCUUUCACGGACAAAACCCUACGUGAGGGUUCAUUGCUAUCGCGCCAGAGACUUGUUAAGGGCACCUUUCUGCUUCCCCGUCAUGGCUUCAGGGAGUAGAGGGCCAAUUGCGGCGGCUCAGGGCGGCGCCUCUUCGUGGCCGUAGGCAUCACUGCGACAGCGUCGGGAUCGUGGAGGCGUGUCCUUCAAAGCAAACCGUAAUGGUGACCGCGGCGGGUUGAGCGAAUCGGGUGUCCUCUUGCAAGUUUAGGGUUUUUGAUUUGGGGCUUGCAAUUAGGGUUUCGUCUAUAGAUUUUGGGGUUUUCCCUGCUCUUGUUUUCGAUUCUGAUCUUGGGGGUUUCAGCUUCGGCGUAAAGAGCUCGCGUUUCUGACUGCAUGAAGAUGGCGAGGGCAGCGGCGCGGUGAUUGACGAGGGUAGUGGCGGCAUGGAGUUUUGGGGUGUGGGUUUUUAUUUUUAUUUCUCGUUCUGUGAUUUGGGGAUUUUGGAGUCUGUUCUUGCCAAUUGGGGAUUUUAAUUUCAAUUAGGGAUUUUGUUUCGGUUCUUGGAAACUUUUGGGUUGUGUUGAAUCUGUGAGCUUGCGUUUCUUUGGGGUUUGAUCGCGAUGAUCGUUGCGAUGUUUUGUGGUUCGUUUCUACGUGUUAGGGUUCUGGUCUGUGGUGUCGGUGGUGGUUGCACCGGCGGAGCAACCAUGGGUGGUAGUGGUGAGUUGCGGCCAAGGCUCAGGGUGGCAGUCAGGGUUGCGCCUAGGUCAGGCCUCUAAACCAGCAGCAUUGGGUUUCUUGUUUCGAUUGCAGAUUUGGAUAGAACUAAUUGGGGGUGUUGCUCCCUCCACGGCCCAAGUUCUUUUGCACCUUCCAGGAUUUUCCUUAUUCCAAAAAUAUUCUAUACCUUUUCACUAUAUUUUCUUAUUCUAAAAAUACCUUACAUUUUCUUAUUA
Molecule: long non-coding RNA, 962 nt
Organism: Vigna angularis (adzuki bean)
Lineage: Eukaryota; Viridiplantae; Streptophyta; Magnoliopsida; Fabales; Fabaceae
Exons: 2
Source: RefSeq, a predicted model, not a curated record